UACGUAGGGGGCAAUCGUUGUCCGGAAUUAUUGGGCGUAAAGCGCGCGCAGGCGGUUCCUUAAGUCUGAUGUGAAAGCCCACGGCUCAACCGUGGAGGGUCAUUGGAAACUGGGGAACUUGAGGACAGAAGAGGAGAGUGGAAUUCCACGUGUAGCGGUGAAAUGCGUAGAUAUGUGGAGGAACACCAGUGGCGAAGGCGACUCUCUGGUCUGUUUCUGACGCUGAGGUGCGAAAGCGUGGGUAGAAAACAGG
Molecule: ribosomal RNA, 253 nt
Filed under: uncultured bacterium
Lineage: Bacteria
Description: partial 16S ribosomal RNA
Rfam family: Bacterial small subunit ribosomal RNA
Source: RNAcentral